CUUGGUCAUUUAGAGGAAGUAAAAGUCGUAACAAGGUUUCCGUAGGUGAACCUGCGGAAGGAUCAUUACAGAAUAAACUUGGUGGGUUGUUGCUGGCUCUCAUUUGGGCAUGUGCACACCUGUCAUCUUUAUCUUUCCACCAUGUGCACUCUCUGUAGAACUGGAAUAAACAAUAAGCCUAGUCACUUGUUGACUACUGGAAUGUUGCUGAUUCUUCAGCUCAUUCUGUAUUUGGCUGUUUAUCCUAGGCUCUACGAUAUUUCUAUAUACACCAUGUAUGUCAAUGAACGCAAUCAAUGGGCCCAUAAAGCCUAUAUACCUAUAAAUACAACUUUCAGCAACGGAUCUCUUGGCUCUCGCAUCGAUGAAGAACGCAGCGAAAUGCGAUAAGUAAUGUGAAUUGCAGAAUUCAGUGAAUCAUCGAAUCUUUGAACGCACCUUGCGCUCCUUGGUAUUCCGAGGAGCAUGCCUGUUUGAGUGUCAUUAAAUUCUCAAUCUUAACAACUUUGUGUUGUCUAGAUUGGAAGUGGGGGUCUUUUGUGUGGAAUCCAAUUCCUCACUCCCCUUAAAUGUAUUAGCCGGAAUGCCUCUGCAUAUCUGACUAUCAGUGUGAUAAUUAUCUAUGCUGUAGUUGUUGCAUGAGGGUAUCUGCUUCAUCAAUCGUCGCAAGACAACUAUUGACCAUCUUGACCUCAAAUCACGUAGGACUACACGCUGAACUUAAGCAUAUCAAUAAGCGGAGGA
Molecule: ribosomal RNA, 744 nt
Filed under: uncultured fungus
Lineage: Eukaryota; Fungi
Description: eukaryotic LSU rRNA
Rfam family: 5.8S ribosomal RNA (bases 330-483)
Source: RNAcentral